UCAAGAUCAAACAUUCGUGACCAACUAUAUUCAUUGGGUUUGGCUCGUCGAACCGUACUGCUGCUGCAGUCAGCCAACAAUGAUUUGCUGAAAUUACUGCUGGCUGUGCACGAGCUGAGUGCCUGCUGCUGACGUCACUCACAAUGCACGUUUGCAGCCAGGCACGUGUGUUGUGACUGGGUGUGUGACAGAGAAAAUCUUUUUGUGUCAUUUAGAAGGAAAAUGCGUGCAUGUUAGCGUUUGAGUCACAUUUCAAAAGUUGCUAAAUCUAGCAACAAAAUUGCUAAAUUGGCAUCAAUGUCCAGUCGGCCAAUCAGAAAGCGUUAUACUGCGGUGUGAUGCUAAGGCGAGAUUACCCCCCUUCAUGUACCACGAAAAAUUGAUGUGUUAGUCAUUUUAAAGGGGACAUGAAGUGCAACAGGCCACACACUGACAUCCCAAGGGGUUCCUGCUGAUUCUACGGAGAUUGUGACAGCUGGUUAAAUUGGAAUACAGCGAGGGAGAGAGGGAGAAAAAGAGGCAACAGCAGGUACAGGUGUCCCAGCAGAAGGUGAUGUCAUGACAGCAGCAGCUCUCGCCCCAUAUGACCACAGCCGCAAGGCCAAGACAUAAUACAGGUGCAGGUCAGGGGGCAACAGUAGGGCCAGGUGGUUUUCGUGCCAGGUCCUGCAGCUGCAUUCCUCCACCUCCUCCCAUCAACAGCUACAGGGGGUCACCAUAGCCCAGCUAUUACAGUCUGGGAACAGCGCCAACAGGUGUGAGACUGCUGUUCCGGGACACCACGGAGUGCCGGUUCUCCUUCAUCUGCACCUCCAACAACCAGAUCUCUCAUAUCCAGGGCAGUUGGACCAGACCAUCUACCACAACUUCCCGUCCCUGCAUGCCCUUGCAGGUACCCCCUCAACUACCAUCAACACCACUCCGGCUGUCUGUCUGAUAUCUAUCUCGCUCUUUCAAAUCCUUUAUGCUUCUCUUUGUGUCUAUCGCUCUGACAUGUGCUCUGGUUGUCAGACAGCAAUGUGGAGGCGGUGGACGGUGGACCCCAGUGGCUACCUGCAGGCUGGGGAUUCACUGCGCACUCUGCCCAGGGUGGGCCCCAACGUAUGCCUCAACCCUUCAGGGCAAUUAAGGGUGCAUCUUCAAAGUGUGCAGCUGAGGAAUGGCUUUCUAUGAACCAACUGUAUGUAGUGCAUUAUUAUGAAUACAUUUUUUGGGAAGGAGCCAUGCCUAUAGCAAGUCUUGGAAUGAAUAGGUGUGAUGGAGGCGAGUGCAUUAUACACAGGCAUAAUAUUAAGCGUUGCCUGUGUUCCACCUCUAGGUGGCAGACUGUGUGUGUCUGAUGGACAAGGCCAGUGUUGUGCCUGUGGACAUGUGUGGCAGAUUACUGAACAAGACUACAGCUGUGCGGCUGUAAACGGGCAGAAGAGCCUCACAGACAAAGUCUGCUGUGAGAUUGGGGAAUUCUUCAGACAGCCAUGGGGUCCUUACGCUCGGUGAGUGGCACACUCGGUGUUCUGUGCUGACCUGAAGAAGUUCCAGAAGCUGACAGAAACACCCUCUGAAACAGGAGGAGGAGAAGGUCACGAUAAAGGUAGCGGGAAUGGGGAAGGACAAGAAAAUGUGUAAUAAAAAGGUCUGUGAAGAAAGAGGUGGAUGUGGUGUGAGGUCAGCAGAGGUUAUUUGUUGGUGAUUUAUGUUAGCUCAGGAGGCUAAACUGAAUAUCUGUUAUUCUCUGCAUACCUCUCUCGGGAGCAACUAGGUUUGUGAGGCUGACAAUCUGACCCUGUCUCCCCAGGUUUAUGACCUGAUUGCAUGCAAACCAAGGUCACUGUCUGGUUUUUUUCCUGAUCACUUUGUAGAAUGAUGUAAGACAGAUAUAUAAAUGUGAUAGAUGUCAUAAAAGAGACAGAGUUCACUCCGAACCAGACUUUUAUUGUCUGUCAUAUAUUUCUGUGUUCAGGCUCUGAACUGAAGGCUACUGAUUAUUUUUACAGUGAUACAUGUCUGGGAAUUAAGCUCUACAGGUGUGGGUAAUUUUACUCUUCUCUUUUUCUCUUCUUUACAUAGGAACUAAACACUGAGAAAGUAUCUAUCUAUUAUUUUCUAGGUCAAUGGACCACCAAAAAUACUUUCUAUUUGUAACAGUUUAUUUUUUUACAAUGAAAUAAAAAGGUUUUGUACUCGU
Molecule: non-coding RNA, 2185 nt
Organism: Oncorhynchus mykiss (rainbow trout)
Lineage: Eukaryota; Metazoa; Chordata; Actinopteri; Salmoniformes; Salmonidae
Source: RefSeq, a predicted model, not a curated record